UACGUACUUCCUCCGUCGGAAAUACUUGUCAUCAAAAUGGAUAAAAGGAGAUGUAUCUAGACGUAUUUUAGUUCUACAUACAUUUAUUUUUAUCUAUUUUGAUGACAAGUAUUAUGAGACGGAGGGAGUAAUUG
This is a non-coding RNA of Triticum aestivum (bread wheat), 134 nucleotides long. The record is from Rfam. NCBI's taxonomy places the organism in Eukaryota, Viridiplantae, Streptophyta, Magnoliopsida, Poales, Poaceae.